This 636-nucleotide ribosomal RNA is filed under the name uncultured Zoogloea sp. RNAcentral's name for it is "bacterial SSU rRNA". It matches the Rfam family "Bacterial small subunit ribosomal RNA", at positions 8 to 642 of the family's 1533-position model. Lineage: Bacteria; Pseudomonadati; Pseudomonadota; Betaproteobacteria; Rhodocyclales; Zoogloeaceae. The record is from RNAcentral.
AGAGUUUGAUCCUGGCUCAGAUUGAACGCUGGCGGCAUGCCUUACACAUGCAAGUCGAACGGCAGCGCGGGGCAACCUGGCGGCGAGUGGCGAACGGGUGAGUAAUAUAUCGGAACGUACCCUGGAGUGGGGGAUAACGUAGCGAAAGUUACGCUAAUACCGCAUACGAUCUAAGGAUGAAAGUGGGGGAUCGCAAGACCUCAUGCUCCUGGAGCGGCCGAUAUCUGAUUAGCUAGUUGGUGGGGUAAAGGCCUACCAAGGCAUCGAUCAGUAGCUGGUCUGAGAGGACGACCAGCCACACUGGGACUGAGACACGGCCCAGACUCCUACGGGAGGCAGCAGUGGGGAAUUUUGGACAAUGGGGGCAACCCUGAUCCAGCAAUGCCGCGUGAGUGAAGAAGGCCUUCGGGUUGUAAAGCUCUUUUGUCAGGGAAGAAACGGUGGUUUCUAAUACAGACCACUAAUGACGGUACCUGAAGAAUAAGCACCGGCUAACUACGUGCCACAGCCCGCGGUAAUACGUAGGGUGCAAGCGUUAAUCGGAAUUACUGGGCGUAAAGCGUGCGCAGGCGGUUUUGUAAGUCUGUCNUGAAAUCCCCGGCUCAACCUGGGAAUUGCGAUGGAAACCGCAAGGCU